GGGGGAUACUGCACAAGGGGCGAAAGCCUGAUGGAGCAACGCCGCGUGGGUGAAGAAGGUCUUCGGAUCGUAAAACCCUGUUGUCAGAGAAGAAAGUGCAUGAGAGUAACUGUUCAUGUUGCGAUGGUAUCUGACCAGAAAGCCACGGCUAACUACGUGCCAGCAGCCGCGGUAAUACGUAGGUGGCAAGCGUUAUCCGGAUUUAUUGGGCGUAAAGGGAACGCAGGCGGUCUUUUAAGUCUGAUGUGAAAGCCUUCGGCUUAACCGGAGUAGUGCAUUGGAAACUGGGAGACUUGAGUGCAGAAGAGGAGAGUGGAACUCCAUGUGUAGCGGUGAAAUGCGUAGAUAUAUGGAAGAACACCAGUGGCGAAAGCGGCUCUCUGGUCUGUAACUGACGCUGAGGUUCGAAAGCGUGGGUAGCAAACAGG
This 428-nucleotide ribosomal RNA is filed under the name uncultured bacterium. Its description in RNAcentral is "bacterial SSU rRNA". It matches the Rfam family "Bacterial small subunit ribosomal RNA", at positions 356 to 776 of the family's 1533-position model. The record is from RNAcentral.